UUGUCUCAAAGAUUAAGCCAUGCAUGUCUCAGUACGAGCCACAUUAAGGUGAAACCGCGAAAGGCUCAUUAAAUCAGUUAUGGUUCCUUAGAUCGUACCCACAUUUACUUGGAUAACUGUGGUAAUUCUAGAGCUAAUACAUGCAGAUAGAGCUCCGACCGGAGACGGAAGGAGUGCUUUUAUUAGAACAAAACCAAUCGGCGGCGGGCGCGUUCGCGCGUCCGUUCGCCGCUCUACCUGGUGAAUCUGAAUAACUUUCAGCUGAUCGCACGGUCUCGCACCGGCGACGCAUCUUUCAAAUGUCUGCCUUAUCAACUGUCGAUGGUAGGUUCUGCGCCUACCAUGGUCGUAACGGGUAACGGGGAAUCAGGGUUCGAUUCCGGAGAGGGAGCCUGAGAAACGGCUACCACAUCCAAGGAAGGCAGCAGGCGCGCAAAUUACCCACUCCCGGCACGGGGAGGUAGUGACGAAAAAUAACGAUACGGGACUCAUCCGAGGCCCCGUAAUCGGAAUGAGUACACUUUAAAUCCUUUAACGAGGACCCAUUGGAGGGCAAGUCUGGUGCCAGCAGCCGCGGUAAUUCCAGCUCCAAUAGCGUA
This 599-nucleotide ribosomal RNA is filed under the name Sharphydrus sp. MNCN-AI160. RNAcentral's name for it is "SSU rRNA". It matches the Rfam family "Eukaryotic small subunit ribosomal RNA", at positions 32 to 601 of the family's 1831-position model. The record is from RNAcentral. Lineage: Eukaryota; Metazoa; Arthropoda; Insecta; Coleoptera; Dytiscidae.